UACGUAGGGACCAAGCGUUGUUCGGAUUUACUGGGCGUAAAGGGCGCGUAGGCGGCGUGUCAAGUCAAUUGUGAAAUCUCCGAGCUUAACUCGGAACGGUCAAUUGAUACUGAUGUGCUAGAGUGCAGAAGGGGCAAUCGGAAUUCUUGGUGUAGCGGUGAAAUGCGUAGAUAUCAGGAAGAACACCGAUGGCGAAGGCAGUUCUCUGGGACGGUACUGACGCUGAGACGCGAAAGCGUGGGGAGCGAACAGG
This 253-nucleotide ribosomal RNA is filed under the name uncultured bacterium. RNAcentral describes it as "partial 16S ribosomal RNA". It matches the Rfam family "Bacterial small subunit ribosomal RNA", at positions 524 to 776 of the family's 1533-position model. The record is from RNAcentral.